This 1389-nucleotide long non-coding RNA is filed under the name Nicotiana benthamiana. RNAcentral describes it as "long non-coding RNA (NBEN_LNC007438)". Lineage: Eukaryota; Viridiplantae; Streptophyta; Magnoliopsida; Solanales; Solanaceae. The record is from RNAcentral.
UCCCCUCCCUUUUUUAAUCCAAACGACUACCAAUAGUUCCCUCAUUUCUCCUCUAUCAGCCUCCUCUAAACACCACUCUCUCAAACUCUCUCAAAGUUUCUCAAACCAUAGCACCACUUGUCGUCUCUGACCGAAGAUCCACUGGAAUCUACAGCCACCAAAGCCAUGGGGGUCCUAAUCCCACGCCCUGGUACUCUUAUACACUGAUUUCCUGAAGGUUCAAGGCCUAACCUUGAAUAUUUGUACCCAGGCUUCCUUCGAUUCAAGGGUUCCAUGGUCGUCUCAGGCUUUACUCUGGCGUACCAUGAUCAUUCGAGCAUGUGUCUAACUUCUCUGACUUAGAUCGUGACUUUUCCAAGCCUUUCUCACUUCUAGAUUCCUCUCAAACCCUAACCUUUUGUGCUUUUUCUGAUUUCUCUAGAUCUGUGUUUAUUUUAAGAUUUCAAAUGUUUUCUCAAAGUUUCUCUCAAAACCUUUCUUUCAAACCUUUCGUCUUCUCUGAUAUAGGGUUUCUUUGAGUUCUUACAUGCUCUACUGUGAUUCUUAUGUGUUUCUCCUACUGUCUUUCUUCUACAAUGAUCCUUAUGUGUUUCUUCUACUGUAUUUUCUUCUACCUUGUUCUAAUGAUUUCUUCUACUAUAUUCAUUAACGAUUUUUCUUUUGUUAUGUUUUUUAUAAGGUUCCUUUACUGGGAAGUACAUGUUAAAAGUCUCAGUGCCUUUAUGAUUUAUGAACUUAUUUCAUCAUUUUUUCUGCCUGAUUUACUUGCUUUCGUCUCUAUACUCGACUAAUGGUAAAAACCCUAGAUUUUGGGGUUCAUUCAACUUUUUGAGGCUACUUGUUACGUGAUUUGCUUGCUUCUUAUCUCUGAACGUGUUUGAUUUCAAAACUCUAGUCUCUUUGAACCUAUUUUGGUUUCUGAAGUUAUUUCAUCUACUUCUCGAUUGAGUUUCAAUAUCUUUGUUUUAACUUUGUUUCUUCAUGUGAUUUUGACUCCGUGAUAAAACUCUAUAAGACCUUUUACCUGACCCUUUUUGCAUGCUAUCUGAUAUUCCCUCUUCUCUGAGAUGACUACCAUGUUCCAAUAGUCCUAUACUCACUGAUUUUUUAUUGCAUGACACUUUUCCUUUGUCUUAAAUUCAGCCUCGCAUGCUUAAUAUAUAUGUACCCUAUUUAUAUGUAAAACCCCUUCCGUGCUUGGUUUACAAACUUGUGACUGAUUUUAAAACUUUCCUUAGUGAAAAUAUGAUUUCAUUCGCCUAUUAAGGUUAAGUGAUUUCUUUUCCUGUUUUACUUUACUGAAUCUUUUCCAAAAUUAGAAUUCCUCUGCACCUAUACUCGAUUGCUUACUUGUUAUUUUACUACUUCUUUUAUUACAAUUGUCAUCCU